CCUACGGGGCGCUGCAGUGGGGAAUAUUGGACAAUGGGCGAAAGCCUGAUCCAGCCAUGCCGCGUGUGUGAAGAAGGCCUUCGGGUUGUAAAGCACUUUCAGUGGGGAAGAAAGCCUUGGGGCUAAUACCCUCGAGGAAGGACAUCACCCACAGAAGAAGCACCGGCUAACUCCGUGCCAGCAGCCGCGGUAAUACGGAGGGUGCGAGCGUUAAUCGGAAUUACUGGGCGUAAAGCGCGCGUAGGCGGUCUGAUAAGCCGGUUGUGAAAGCCCCGGGCUCAACCUGGGAACGGCAUCCGGAACUGUCAGGCUAGAGUGCAGGAGAGGAAGGUAGAAUUCCCGGUGUAGCGGUGAAAUGCGUAGAGAUCGGGAGGAAUACCAGUGGCGAAGGCGGCCUUCUGGACUGACACUGACGCUGAGGUGCGAAAGUGUGGGUAGCAAACAGGAUUAGAUACCCUGGUAGUC
This 465-nucleotide ribosomal RNA is filed under the name Vreelandella stevensii. RNAcentral describes it as "partial 16S ribosomal RNA". It matches the Rfam family "Bacterial small subunit ribosomal RNA", at positions 338 to 795 of the family's 1533-position model. The record is from RNAcentral. Lineage: Bacteria; Pseudomonadati; Pseudomonadota; Gammaproteobacteria; Oceanospirillales; Halomonadaceae.